AGAGUUUGAUCCUGGCUCAGGACGAACGCUGGCGGCGUGCUUAACACAUGCAAGUCGAGCGAGGCCCUCCUUCGGGGGGUGCCCUAGCGGCGAACGAGUGAGUAACACGUGGGCAACCUGCCCUCAGCUCUGGGAUAACUCCAAGAAAUUGGUGCUAAUACCGGAUGUGACCGCUGACCGCAUGGUCUGGUGGUGGAAAGAUUCAUCGGCUGAGGAUGGGCCCGCGGCCUAUCAGCUUGUUGGUGGGGUGAUGGCCUACCAAGGCGACGACGGGUAGCCGGCCUGAGAGGGUGACCGGCCACACUGGGACUGAGACACGGCCCAGACUCCUACGGGAGGCAGUAGUGGGGAAUAUUGCGCAAUGGGCGAAAGCCUGACGCAGCGACGCCGCGUGAGGGAUGACGGCCUUCGGGUUGUAAACCUCUUUCAGUAGGGACGAAGCGCAAGUGACGGUACCUACAGAAGAAGCACCGGCCAACUACGUGCCAGCAGCCGCGGUAAUACGUAGGGUGCAAGCGUUGUCCGGAAUUAUUGGGCGUAAAGAGCUCGUAGGCGGUCUGUCACGUCGGCUGUGAAAACCCGAGGCUCAACCUCGGGCCUGCAGUCGAUACGGGCAAACUAGAGUACUGCAGGGGAGACUGGAAUUCCUGGUGUAGCGGUGAAAUGCGCAGAUAUCAGGAGGAACACCGGUGGCGAAGGCGGGUCUCUGGGCAGUAACUGACGCUGAGGAGCGAAAGCGUGGGGAGCGAACAGGAUUAGAUACCCNNGUAGUCC
RNAcentral lists this ribosomal RNA (774 nucleotides) under uncultured bacterium. RNAcentral's name for it is "bacterial SSU rRNA". It matches the Rfam family "Bacterial small subunit ribosomal RNA", at positions 8 to 796 of the family's 1533-position model. The record is from RNAcentral.